AUCGCUUCUCGGCCUUUUGGCUCAGAUCAAGUGUAGUAUCUGGUCUUAUAAGUUUAAUAUCUGAUACGUCCCCCAUCGGGGGACUACAUAUUAAAUGGAUUUUUCGAACAGGGAGUCGGAAAUGGGGCUUGCUCCGUCCGCUCCACGCAUCGACCCGGUAUUGCAGUACCUCCGGGAAUGGUGCAACACUU
This 191-nucleotide small nuclear RNA is filed under the name Salmo salar (Atlantic salmon). Its description in RNAcentral is "U2 spliceosomal RNA". It matches the Rfam family "U2 spliceosomal RNA". Rfam says of the family: U2 is a small nuclear RNA (snRNA) component of the spliceosome (involved in pre-mRNA splicing). Complementary binding between U2 snRNA (in an area lying towards the 5' end but 3' to hairpin I) and the branchpoint sequence (BPS) of the intron results the bulging out of an unpaired adenosine, on the BPS, which initiates a nucleophilic attack at the intronic 5' splice site, thus starting the first of two transesterification reactions that mediate splicing. Lineage: Eukaryota; Metazoa; Chordata; Actinopteri; Salmoniformes; Salmonidae. The record is from Rfam by way of RNAcentral.